This is a long non-coding RNA of Alexandromys fortis (reed vole), 413 nucleotides long. RefSeq lists it as uncharacterized. The record is from RefSeq and is a predicted model, not a curated record. NCBI's taxonomy places the organism in Eukaryota, Metazoa, Chordata, Mammalia, Rodentia, Cricetidae. The transcript is spliced from 3 exons.
CUCCACCAUACUGUCGUCCCAGAAGUCCAGUCGCACGGAUUUAACUUUGCUGACGUCUGGGAAGUUGCGGUGGACGCCAGAGCAGUGAAGACAGAUGAAAAUCCCCAGAUUCCCACCCUUUGGCACAGCGACACCAACGAGACCUCGGAAGGAGGAACCGAGAAGAAGGGGCAAGUGAGGGACCCGCUCGGAGGCUCAGGGCUGGGAGCCGCAUCAGCAUCCUCAGGGUCAACGCGCCGCAGUGAAGGGUCGCGGGGGCCCAGGAGGCAUCGGAGCCCCGCAGUCGGCGCAGUGCGUGUUGCCGGUGCCCGCAGCUUGCAGCAGCUCCAGCAGCCGUUUCUUGUUGCGCUCACGGUCGCCCAUGGCCGGACCGGAGGUCUCAGCGGGGCUUAGCUGCGCCGACUCCGCGCUUC